RNAcentral lists this ribosomal RNA (404 nucleotides) under Fusobacteriota bacterium. RNAcentral's name for it is "Fusobacteria bacterium partial 16S ribosomal RNA". It matches the Rfam family "Bacterial small subunit ribosomal RNA", at positions 355 to 776 of the family's 1533-position model. The record is from RNAcentral. Lineage: Bacteria; Fusobacteriati; Fusobacteriota.
UGGGGAAUAUUGCACAAUGGAGGGAACUCUGAUGCAGCGACGCCGCGUGAGUGAUGAAGGAAUUCGUUUCGUAAAACUCUGUUCUAUGGGAAGAAAAGGACUGUACCAUAGGAGAAAGCUCCGGCUAAAUACGUGCCAGCAGCCGCGGUAAUACGUAUGGAGCGAGCGUUGUCCGGAAUUAUUGGGCGUAAAGGGUGCGCAGGCGGCUUUACAAGUUGGAUGUGAAAUAUUGUGGCUCAACCACAAACGUGCAUCCAAAACUGCAAAGCUUGAGUUAAGGAGAGGUAAGUGGAAUUCCUGGUGUAGCGGUGGAAUGCGUAGAUAUCAGGAGGAAUACCGGUGGCGAAGGCGACUUACUGGACUUAAACUGACGCUCAGGCACGAAAACGUGGGGAGCAAACAGG